Molecule: ribosomal RNA, 533 nt
Filed under: uncultured bacterium
Lineage: Bacteria
Description: partial 16S ribosomal RNA
Rfam family: Bacterial small subunit ribosomal RNA
Source: RNAcentral
UGGGGAAUAUUGCACAAUGGGCGAAAGCCUGAUGCAGCAACGCCGCGUGAGUGAUGAAGGCCUUCGGGUUGUAAAGCUCUGUCUUUUGGGACGAUAAUGACGGUACCAAAGGAGGAAGCCACGGCUAACUACGUGCCAGCAGCCGCGGUAAUACGUAGGUGGCAAGCGUUGUCCGGAUUUACUGGGCGUAAAGGAUGCGUAGGCGGAUUUUUAAGUGAGAUGUGAAAACCCUAAGCUUAACUUGGGGACUGCAUUUCAUACUGGAAAUCUAGAGUGCGGGAGAGGAGAAUGGAAUUCCUAGUGUAGCGGUGAAAUGCGUAGAGAUUAGGAAGAACACCAGUGGCGAAGGCGAUUCUCUGGACCGUAACUGACGCUGAGGCAUGAAAAGCGUGGGUAGCAAACAGGAUUAGAUACCCUGGUAGUCCACGCCGUAAACGAUGGGUACUAGGUGUAGGAGGUAUCGACCCCUUCUGUGCCGCAGUUAACACAAUAAGUACUCCGCCUGGGAAGUACGAUCGCAAGAUUAAAAACUC